This 305-nucleotide ribosomal RNA is filed under the name uncultured bacterium. RNAcentral's name for it is "bacterial SSU rRNA". It matches the Rfam family "Bacterial small subunit ribosomal RNA", at positions 338 to 657 of the family's 1533-position model. The record is from RNAcentral.
CCUACGGGAGGCAGCAGUGGGGAAUAUUGCACAAUGGGCGAAAGCCUGAUGCAGCAACGCCGCGUGAAGGAAGACGGUUUUCGGAUUGUAAACUUCUAUCCAUAGGGAAGAAAGAAAUGACGGUACCUAAAUAAGAAGCCCCGGCUAACUACGGGCCAGCAGCCGCGGAAAUACGUAGGGGGCAAGCGUUAUCCGGAAUUACUGGGUGUAAAGGGAGCGUAGGUGGCAAGGUAAGCGAUAUGUGAAAGCCUUAAGCUUAACUUAAGGAUUGCACAACGAACUAUCUAGCUAGAGUACAGGAGAGG